This 73-nucleotide transfer RNA is filed under the name Ailuropoda melanoleuca (giant panda). It matches the Rfam family "tRNA". Rfam says of the family: Transfer RNA (tRNA) molecules are approximately 80 nucleotides in length. Their secondary structure includes four short double-helical elements and three loops (D, anti-codon, and T loops). The record is from Rfam by way of RNAcentral. Lineage: Eukaryota; Metazoa; Chordata; Mammalia; Carnivora; Ursidae.
GCCAGGCUGGCACAGUCAGUGGAGCACGUGACUCUUGAUCUCGGGGUUGUGAGUUCAAGCCCCACGUUGGGCA